CUUCGUCUACUGUACAGUGAGCCAGGAUCCCAGCCUAAAUUUGGACCAUGCAGUGCUUGCGUAUAGUGUGUUAUUCCUCUGCUUUUUAUUUCAUGUGUCACUUUUUUAUUUGUUUAGCGUUUUUGGUUGCUUAUACCUGCUGUGCUUAUCAUUCCAACUUGUGCUAUGUUUUAAGAUGUGCUUUAUUUUUCAUACUACGCUUUUUUAACUUUUAUAUUUCAUCUAUGGUAUUUUAAUUACAAUGCACAGUAUGUUGAAAAUUAUCGUUUUCCUGACUUUUGCA
This 283-nucleotide long non-coding RNA is filed under the name Mytilus galloprovincialis (Mediterranean mussel). The record is from RNAcentral. Lineage: Eukaryota; Metazoa; Mollusca; Bivalvia; Mytilida; Mytilidae.